CAAUAGCGUAUAUUUAAGUUGUUGCAGUUAAAAAGCUCGUAGUUGGAUUUCGGUUGAGAACGGCCGGUCCGCCGUUUGGUGUGCACUGUUCGGCGCGUCCUUCUUUCCGGAGACUAAUUCUACUCUUAACUGAGCGGAAUUGGGAGACGGAUCGUUUACUUUGAAAAAUCAGAGUGUUUCAAGCAGGCAGCUCGCUCUUGCAUGGAUUAGCAUGGGAUAAUGAAAUAGGACUCUGGUGCUAUUUUGUUGGUUUCGAACACCGGAGUAAUGAUUAACAGGGACAGUCAGGGGCACUCGUAUUCCGUCGAGAGAGGUGAAAUUCUCAGACCAAUGGAAGACGAACCACUGCGAAAGCAUUUGCCAGGGAUGUUUUCACUGAUCAAGAACGAAAGUUAGGGGAUCGAAGAUGAUUAGAUACCAU
This 421-nucleotide ribosomal RNA is filed under the name uncultured eukaryote. RNAcentral describes it as "SSU rRNA". It matches the Rfam family "Eukaryotic small subunit ribosomal RNA", at positions 592 to 1018 of the family's 1831-position model. The record is from RNAcentral.